This 551-nucleotide ribosomal RNA is filed under the name uncultured bacterium. RNAcentral's name for it is "bacterial SSU rRNA". It matches the Rfam family "Bacterial small subunit ribosomal RNA", at positions 355 to 896 of the family's 1533-position model. The record is from RNAcentral.
UGAGGAAUCUUGCGCAAUGGGGGAAACCCUGACGCAGCAACGCCGCGUGAGUGAUGAAGGCCUUCGGGUCGUAAAGCUCUGUCAGAUGGGAAGAAAGUUUUAGCGGUGAAUAAUCGCUGGAAUUGACGGUACCGUCAAAGGAAGCACCGGCUAACUCCGUGCCAGCAGCCGCGGUAAUACGGAGGGUGCUAGCGUUGUUCGGAAUUAUUGGGCGUAAAGAGCGUGUAGGCGGCCGGGUAAGUCAGAUGUGAAAUCCCUUGGCUUAACCAAGGAAGGGCAUUUGAAACUGCCUGGCUUGAGUACGGGAGGGGGAAGUGGAAUUCCCGGUGUAGAGGUGAAAUUCGUAGAUAUCGGGAGGAACACCGGUGGCGAAGGCGGCUUCCUGGAUCGAUACUGACGCUGAGACGCGAAAGCGUGGGGAGCAAACAGGAUUAGAUACCCUGGUAGCCCACGCCGUAAACGUUGGGCACUUGGUGUUGCGGGUAUUGACCCCUGCAGUGCCGAAGCUAACGCAUUAAGUGCCCCGCCUGGGGAGUACGGCCGCAAGGCUA